RNAcentral lists this non-coding RNA (52 nucleotides) under unclassified sequences. RNAcentral's name for it is "Mu-gpT-DE RNA". It matches the Rfam family "Mu-gpT-DE RNA". The record is from Rfam by way of RNAcentral.
CCCUGACAGUUACAUACCGUAGCUGACUAACCCAAGACAGGAGAUUAACAUG